UGUAUCCACCCAGUGCUACUUUCCUGGAACCCACUGUAUGCUAUUGCUGUAUGCCUUGAUGUAAGUCUGUUUUGAAUACCAAUGAGCCAUAAAAUUUUCAGGAUGAUCACUCUUAUAAAAUAUGGCACAUAUUGCAUGUUGCCAAAGGAUGCUAGUAAGAUCCCACUCUCUAUAACUGCAACUUCUUUUUUCAAUAUUCAUAGUGUAUUUAUCCUCCUUGUCAUUUGCAUUAGUUAUCUCAUAUCCCAUAUCUCCAUUCCACUGCAUAAACCAAUUGAAUGACUUCUUAUUUUUCUCUAGUUUCUCCAUAAACCUAGGAGAUUGAUCACAAAUCUAAGAAUUAACAGACUCUCUUUUAGUCCACAACCUAUUCAUCACUUGCACCCUAAUAUCUUCAAGCAUUGAAAUAAUUACCUUGCAUCUUGGUUCAAGUAUCCAGCCAUUGAAAGUCUCUGAUAGGUUGUUAUCCACAAUAUCACACUUUACAUCAACAUUAAAGUAUGCCUUGCACCAGCUUUUAACCCCAUAACUUAAGACAACUUGCACAAUGUUCUCUCCAAGUUCAUUAAGUGUUUCUAAUCUAUCUUUCAACUACCUCCCAAAAGUUACCCUAGCACAAUUCUAAAAAAUAAAUUUUCUCUCCUCACUUCUCCAUUUUUUUGCCCAAUUAGCAUUUAUGUGUCUUGUACACAUUCUAUGCUCAACAUUGGAAAAAAUCUCUUCCAUUGUAGAUUCUAAUCCCUAAAAAACAAUACAGUAGCAUAUAAUAAAUAUACAUUACAAUAUAUACAUGUGUUAGUUACAAUAAAAGUAAUAAAAAGUUACCUUUUGUAUGUCUGAAAUGAUGGUGAAGCCUCCUCCUUCAACUUCAAACUAGGUUGUGACAUUAUCCUACUCAUGUACUCCCUCUUUAAAAACUCAUUAUUACAGAAUUUUGUUUUGGUGUAUCUGUAGCAUUUGGUGAGGGUUAUAUGUCUUAAAUGUGUUAGUGGCAUUAUGUAUGCUCACAUGCAGAACCCAAGGACAAUCUAUCCUACAAACAGCCCUUAUUCUGUCACCAUCAUUCUUUGCAUAAUGGACAUGUGAUACCUUCAUAACACUACACCUUGUAACAAAUUCCCUUCCCUAAUAUUUUUGCAAGUCAUUCCAACACAAAAAACAAGUAUUUUUGCAUUAGGAUCAAAACAAACAUUUAUCUCAUUUUUCCUCACAAGACCAUCAUCAUACUCAUUAUCAGUUUCUUCAACAUAACUACCUAGGUCAGAGCUGCUAUAGUAAACAUUAUCAUUCCCAUCACUACUCUCAUUGUCUUUUGAGAUGUCAUCAUCAUCAAGAACUUCCUCUCCAUAAAAAAAUGAUGUCUACAGGUAUAUUCUGACCAUCUUCAGCAUCUUUUCCAACUUUCUCCUUCUGUUAUUGUGUUUUAUUUCUAAACCUAUACUGUCUCACAUUUUCUCUAGCAGCUAUCAACUCAUCGUCCUCAUCACCGGUCAAUCCACUCAUAUUUAUACAGAUUUUAUUAAAUGUUUGAUGUCUCUCAAAAAUAGGUAAUCCUUCCUCUUCAUCAGACCACUCAUCUACUUCAACAUCAACAUCAGAAGAGGUAUUCAAAGGUAUACUACCCCCAUCUGUCAUAGGUAUACUUUCCUAAUUACUAUUUCUAUUCAAAACCUAGACAAAGGAUUGAGCACUGGUACCUUGCCCUAUCAGUAAUACAAGUAUUACUGCAGUGUUCAAUGUAAAACUCUAGAUAGUUCCCAUCCUUUAAACCACUUGCAGCUUGUAAGACAGAAGAGUCAUCAGUAAUUAAGAUAAAUGGUCCACCAACACCUUUUCUAUAGAACAACCCAUUAAUACUGUUGUACCCCAUUUCCUAUACAUAAGACAUGAUAUUGAGAUAUGACAAAAGGUCAAUAUCUAAGUUACUCUCCACUAUUCUAGCCUUACCUCCCACAUAACUAUGCACUCAGUCCCUAGCUAAAUCACCUCCGUGGUGAAUAAUCAGUUUCAAUUCUGAUGUCAUACAUACCUGUAAAGGAAACAAUGCAUAAUUUACGACCACAAAUCACUGUAAGUAUACAAAUAAAGGUAUCCAUAUACUAUAUUACAGCAAAUAAAUACACAGCAUAACUCAUGCAAAACCAAACAAAUACCUUCAAAUCCCUAAACAAUGAAGCAUUUUCUUAAAUUCAGCGCAACGUAAACACAAAUGAUGAAACCAUAAGUUGACUAAAUGAUAGUGUUAUUUAAAUAAAAAAAGAAAAAGUAAGCUAAAAGUUAAGUUGCAAUAGUUAACAUUGGGACCACAAUAUAAUUAAAAAACACAACAGACACCAGUAUAAGAAGACAAAUACACUUAACAAAUAUGAAUUUACAAACCUUUAAAGGAACAAGAAGGCCCACCACCAGGUAAAGACAAACAAUGCCUGUUCUUCGAUUACUCUCUGUCAAAAAAGAAACAAACAUUUACAAAAACCCAAACGACAGUCAAUAUUAAAAAAAAAUAUUUAGGAGUUGGGAUUUGCUAUUAAGUUUUUUGGAAGAAUAAUAAGGAUUACUUUUAAGUUUUUUGAAGGAUUGAAUUUUGGUUAUUUUUCAAUUUUAAGGUUUUGUUAGGAAAUUUCCUCUUUCUGCGUAUACAUCGUUAUGAGUUAGGGAUUUACUUUGUUAUGUUUGUAGAAUAACCAAACUAACAUUUUCUUUUAUAAAUAUUUACUUUAAUAAAUAAUAAAUAUUUGCCACUGUUAUCACCCAUUUUCUAAAUAGAGAUAUCGAGCAAAAAAUAGAAAACUCUUUAUCCUACUGGGAUUUGCUAUUAAGUUUUUUGGAAGAAUAAUAAGGAUUACUUUAUUUUUUUUUUGAAGGAUUGGAUUUUGGUUGCCGCUUAAUUUUAAGGUUUUGUUAGGAAAUUUCCUCUUUCUGUGUAUACAUCGUUAUUGAUUAGGAAUUUAUUUUGUUAUGUCUACAAAAUAACCAAACUAACCUUUUCUUUUAUAAAUAUUUACUUUAACAAAUAAUGGAUAUUUGCUACUAUCAAUACCCAUUUUUCGGAUACAGAUAUCGAUGAAGAAAUGGAAAACUCUGUGAUGAGAGUUACUGUUUUCUUAGGUCUCGGGAGGUAAAGAACAAGUGAAUCCGAGGUCGGGGUCAAGGUUAAUCCAACUGGAACUAGAUUUUUUUUUUUUGAAAUCAAUUUAGACCUAAUUGUAAAAAAAAAUUAAGUCAAAAUCACAAAAAACCAAAAAAUUUUCUCUAGAUCUAAUCAGCUCUAUAUAGUGCCAAUCGGCUCUACAUAGUGUCAAUCGACUCUUGACUCUUCGACGUCAUUUUUUUAGAUAAUUUUACGUCCAAAUCCAGUUUUUAGAAAGUUCCCUUAGGGAUAAUUAUUGUUUUAUCGAUAAUUACUUUGAUUUUAAUUAAAUCAUUGAAUGUUUAUCGAUAAAUUCCUGGGAUUUAUUUCUUUCUCUAGGGUUUGCUUUGAAACGCUACCUCUAUAAAUUGUAAGAGGAGUUUAGGAUUUCAGGGAGGAGGCAAGAAUUAAUUUUUUGAUCGAUACCAAUAUUUGAGAGAAAAUUAAGAGAGAACAAAAGGAAUAGCACCAUCGAUCAUAAUUAGAAUUCAAGAACUCAAGCCACUAAGAAAGAAGAUUUUAGUAAACUAGUCACUUAAGAAAGAACACUUUUUGGAAACUCCUUUUCAAUCGACAUAAUAUUUUAUGAAGUCAGAUUCAACUUUGAAUUCCUACCUAGUUUUUGAUUCAACUGCUUUCUCAUCACCCGAGACAUAUAGAUCCAACAUAUACGGUGACAACCUGAGGCUUUCUACCAUACAUCUGCAUCAAUCAUAAAAACCGGUUCUUUUAUUCCUUUUUUUUUUGUCUUUUAUAUGCUUUUAUAUUAUUAUUUCUUAGAAACAUGAUUAGGAUUUUUAUCUUUGAUCAAUAUGAUUCAAUUAGGGUUUUAGAAUAUGCAAUAUUAAUAGGAUUUUGAAUUUGAUAAUAAAAACUAGAAAUUUUUUCUUAGAUAUGAUAUUUUACCGAUUAGAGUUUUAGAUUUACUUAAAAACAUUAUUAUAGGAUUAAUAUUUAGUUUCUGCUAUUAUAAUUUGGUAAUUAAGACUAAAUUAAAAUAUGUUUCUUUCUCUAAUAACUUACUACUAGUUUAUAGGAUUUUAGGGUUUCUAGCAAUUUAGGGUUUUCUUGGCUUCUAUACUUUAUUUUGUUAAUUUUCUUAGCUAUUUAGUCUCAUUCUAAUAUUGUUCAAACAUUUGUGCAUAUGAAAAUCGUCUCUAGAAUAUGGGUUUGGACUAUCAAACGAGGAAGAAUCAAAGGAAAUCUAUUCGAAGUGCCCCCUAGACCCCAGAGCCGAUCGGCUCUACAUGCACGGCAUGCUAGCCCCAAAUUUUUUGCUUUUUUCGCAGUUGUUGAUGUAUUCUUGGCCUCUAUUCAGUUUUAGGCCUUUUUAGUUCUGUAAUCUAGUUAUAGGCAGGUUGUAAUUCUAGGAUUUUUUUUCUUGUUUUAUUUCCUUUAUUAUUAUUUUAUUUUUUAUUGCAUGUUAACCCAAUACUUGAUCAUAUGAUUGAUUAAAUAAAAAUGAGCACCCUAGACUUAGGGCUGAAAAAC
This 4621-nucleotide long non-coding RNA is filed under the name Ricinus communis (castor bean). RNAcentral's name for it is "long non-coding RNA (RCOM_LNC002573)". The record is from RNAcentral. Lineage: Eukaryota; Viridiplantae; Streptophyta; Magnoliopsida; Malpighiales; Euphorbiaceae.